This 555-nucleotide ribosomal RNA is filed under the name uncultured bacterium. RNAcentral describes it as "partial 16S ribosomal RNA". It matches the Rfam family "Bacterial small subunit ribosomal RNA", at positions 355 to 900 of the family's 1533-position model. The record is from RNAcentral.
UGGGGAAUAUUGCACAAUGGGCGCAAGCCUGAUGCAGCCAUGCCGCGUGUGUGAAGAAGGCCUUCGGGUUGUAAAGCACUUUCAGCGAGGAGGAAGGGUAGUGUGUUAAUAGCACAUUGCAUUGACGUUACUCGCAGAAGAAGCACCGGCUAACUCCGUGCCAGCAGCCGCGGUAAUACGGAGGGUGCAAGCGUUAAUCGGAAUUACUGGGCGUAAAGCGCACGCAGGCGGUUUGUUAAGUCAGAUGUGAAAUCCCCGCGCUUAACGUGGGAACUGCAUUUGAAACUGGCAAGCUAGAGUCUUGUAGAGGGGGGUAGAAUUCCAGGUGUAGCGGUGAAAUGCGUAGAGAUCUGGAGGAAUACCGGUGGCGAAGGCGGCCCCCUGGACAAAGACUGACGCUCAGGUGCGAAAGCGUGGGGAGCAAAACAGGAUUAGAUACCCUGGUAGUCCACGCUGUAAACGAUGUCGACUUGGAGGUUGUGCCCUUGAGGCGUGGCUUCCGGAGCUAACGCGUUAAGUCGNCCGCCUGGGGGAGUACGGCCNCAAGGUUAAAAC